RNAcentral lists this ribosomal RNA (497 nucleotides) under uncultured bacterium. RNAcentral's name for it is "partial 16S ribosomal RNA". It matches the Rfam family "Bacterial small subunit ribosomal RNA", at positions 28 to 507 of the family's 1533-position model. The record is from RNAcentral.
GAUGAACGCUGGCGGCGUGCCUAAUACAUGCAAGUCGAGCGAACAGACGAGGAGCUUGCUCCUCUGACGUUAGCGGCGGACGGGUGAGUAACACGUGGAUAACCUACCUAUAAGACUGGGAUAACUUCGGGAAACCGGAGCUAAUACCGGAUAAUAUAUUGAACCGCAUGGUUCAAUAGUGAAAGACGGUUUUGCUGUCACUUAUAGAUGGAUCCGCGCCGCAUUAGCUAGUUGGUAAGGUAACGGCUUACCAAGGCAACGAUGCGUAGCCGACCUGAGAGGGUGAUCGGCCACACUGGAACUGAGACACGGUCCAGACUCCUACGGGAGGCAGCAGUAGGGAAUCUUCCGCAAUGGGCGAAAGCCUGACGGAGCAACGCCGCGUGAGUGACGAAGGUCUUCGGAUCGUAAAACUCUGUUAUUAGGGAAGAACAAAUGUGUAAGUAACUAUGCACGUCUUGACGGUACCUAAUCAGAAAGCCACGGCUAACUGCGUG